GACGAACGCUGGCGGCGUGCUUAACACAUGCAAGUCGAACGGAAAGGCCCUGCUUUUGUGGGGUGCUCGAGUGGCGAACGGGUGAGUAACACGUGAGUAACCUGCCCUUGACUUUGGGAUAACUUCAGGAAACUGGGGCUAAUACCGGAUAGGAGCUCCUGCUGCAUGGUGGGGGUUGGAAAGUUUCGGCGGUUGGGGAUGGACUCGCGGCUUAUCAGCUUGUUGGUGGGGUAGUGGCUUACCAAGGCUUUGACGGGUAGCCGGCCUGAGAGGGUGACCGGCCACAAUGGGACUGAGAGACGGCCCAGACUCCUACGGGAGGCAGCAGUGGGGAAUAUUGCACAAUGGGCGGAAGCCUGAUGCAGCAACGCCGCGUGCGGGAUGACGGCCUUCUGGUUGUGAACCGCUUUCGCCUGUGACGAAGCGUGAGUGACGGUAAUGGGUAAAGAAGCACCGGCUAACUACGUG
RNAcentral lists this ribosomal RNA (468 nucleotides) under uncultured bacterium. RNAcentral describes it as "partial 16S ribosomal RNA". It matches the Rfam family "Bacterial small subunit ribosomal RNA", at positions 28 to 507 of the family's 1533-position model. The record is from RNAcentral.